Molecule: unclassified non-coding RNA, 253 nt
Filed under: uncultured Acidobacteriota bacterium
Lineage: Bacteria; Pseudomonadati; Acidobacteriota
Description: uncultured Acidobacteria bacterium contains 16S-23S intergenic spacer region
Rfam family: Bacterial small subunit ribosomal RNA
Source: RNAcentral
UACGGGGGGGGCAAGCGUUGUUCGGAAUUACUGGGCGUAAAGGGCGCGUAGGCGGACGGGAAAGUCCCUCGUGAAAGCCCACGGCUUAACCGUGGAAUUGCGGGGGAAACUGCUCGUCUUGAGUCCGGGAGAGGAGUGUGGAAUUCCCAGUGUAGCGGUGAAAUGCGUAGAUAUUGGGAGGAACACCGGUGGCGAAGGCGGCACUCUGGACCGGUACUGACGCUGAGGCGCGAAAGCUAGGGGAGCAAACGGG